GCGCUCGUAGCUCAUUUGGAUAGAGUGCAGCCCUCCGAAGGCUGAGGUGGUGGGUUCGAAUCCCGCCGAGCGCACCA
This 77-nucleotide transfer RNA is filed under the name Gallionellaceae bacterium. RNAcentral's name for it is "tRNA-Arg". It matches the Rfam family "tRNA". Rfam says of the family: Transfer RNA (tRNA) molecules are approximately 80 nucleotides in length. Their secondary structure includes four short double-helical elements and three loops (D, anti-codon, and T loops). Further hydrogen bonds mediate the characteristic L-shaped molecular structure. tRNAs have two regions of fundamental functional importance: the anti-codon, which is responsible for specific mRNA codon recognition, and the 3' end, to which the tRNAs corresponding amino acid is attached (by aminoacyl-tRNA synthetases). tRNAs cope with the degeneracy of the genetic code in two manners: having more than one tRNA (with a specific anti-codon) for a particular amino acid; and 'wobble' base-pairing, i.e. permitting non-standard base-pairing at the 3rd anti-codon position. The record is from RNAcentral. Lineage: Bacteria; Pseudomonadati; Pseudomonadota; Betaproteobacteria; Nitrosomonadales; Gallionellaceae.